Molecule: ribosomal RNA, 677 nt
Filed under: Cedecea sp. DX50
Lineage: Bacteria; Pseudomonadati; Pseudomonadota; Gammaproteobacteria; Enterobacterales; Enterobacteriaceae
Also listed under: 1 other name
Description: bacterial SSU rRNA
Rfam family: Bacterial small subunit ribosomal RNA
Source: RNAcentral
GGUUGUGCCCUUGAGGCGUGGCUUCCGGAGCUAACGCGUUAAGUCGACCGCCUGGGGAGUACGGCCGCAAGGUUAAAACUCAAAUGAAUUGACGGGGGCCCGCACAAGCGGUGGAGCAUGUGGUUUAAUUCGAUGCAACGCGAAGAACCUUACCUACUCUUGACAUCCAGAGAACUUUCCAGAGAUGGAUUGGUGCCUUCGGGAACUCUGAGACAGGUGCUGCAUGGCUGUCGUCAGCUCGUGUUGUGAAAUGUUGGGUUAAGUCCCGCAACGAGCGCAACCCUUAUCCUUUGUUGCCAGCGGUUAGGCCGGGAACUCAAAGGAGACUGCCAGUGAUAAACUGGAGGAAGGUGGGGAUGACGUCAAGUCAUCAUGGCCCUUACGAGUAGGGCUACACACGUGCUACAAUGGCGCAUACAAAGAGAAGCGACCUCGCGAGAGCAAGCGGACCUCAUAAAGUGCGUCGUAGUCCGGAUUGGAGUCUGCAACUCGACUCCAUGAAGUCGGAAUCGCUAGUAAUCGUAGAUCAGAAUGCUACGGUGAAUACGUUCCCGGGCCUUGUACACACCGCCCGUCACACCAUGGGAGUGGGUUGCAAAAGAAGUAGGUAGCUUAACCUUCGGGAGGGCGCUUACCACUUUGUGAUUCAUGACUGGGGUGAAGUCGUAACAAGGGUA